UGGGGAAUCUUCCGCAAUGGACGAAAGUCUGACGGAGCAACGCCGCGUGAGUGAAGACGGCCUUCGGGUUGUAAAGCUCUGUGAUCCGGGACGAAAGAGCCUGAGGUAAAUAGCCUAAGGAAGUGACGGUACCGGAAAAGCAAGCCACGGCUAACUACGUGCCAGCAGCCGCGGUAAUACGUAGGUGGCAAGCGUUGUCCGGAAUUAUUGGGCGUAAAGCGCGCGCAGGCGGCUUCCUAAGUCCAUCUUAAAAGUGCGGGGCUUAACCCCGUGACGGGAUGGAAACUGGGAAGCUGGAGUAUCGGAGAGGAAAGUGGAAUUCCUAGUGUAGCGGUGAAAUGCGUAGAGAUUAGGAAGAACACCGGUGGCGAAGGCGACUUUCUGGACGAAAACUGACGCUGAGGCGCGAAAGCGUGGGGAGCAAACAGG
RNAcentral lists this ribosomal RNA (429 nucleotides) under Fusobacteriota bacterium. Its description in RNAcentral is "Fusobacteria bacterium partial 16S ribosomal RNA". It matches the Rfam family "Bacterial small subunit ribosomal RNA", at positions 355 to 776 of the family's 1533-position model. The record is from RNAcentral. Lineage: Bacteria; Fusobacteriati; Fusobacteriota.